AUUGAACGCUGGCGGCAUGCUCUACACAUGCAAGUCGAACGGCAGCGCGGGCUUCGGCCUGGCGGCGAGUGGCGAACGGGUGAGUAAUACAUCGGAACGUGCCCAGUAGUGGGGGAUAGCUCGGCGAAAGCCGGAUUAAUACCGCAUACGACCUGAGGGUGAAAGCGGGGGAUCUUCGGACCUCGCGCUAUUGGAGCGGCCGAUGGCAGAUUAGCUAGUUGGUGGGGUAAAGGCCUACCAAGGCGACGAUCUGUAGCUGGUCUGAGAGGACGACCAGCCACACUGGGACUGAGACACGGCCCCGACUCCUACGGGAGGCAGCAGUGGGGAAUUUUGGACAAUGGGCGAAAGCCUGAUCCAGCAAUGCCGCGUGUGUGAUGAAGGACUUCGGGUUGUAAAGCACUUUUGGCGGGAACGAAAAGGACUGUGCCAAUACCACGGUUCGAUGACGGUACCCGCAGAAUAAGCACCGGCUAACUACGUG
This 484-nucleotide ribosomal RNA is filed under the name uncultured bacterium. RNAcentral describes it as "partial 16S ribosomal RNA". It matches the Rfam family "Bacterial small subunit ribosomal RNA", at positions 29 to 507 of the family's 1533-position model. The record is from RNAcentral.